UCCUAGUGAUUAGAGUUUGAUCAUGGCUCAGAUUGAACGCUGGCGGCAGGCCUAACACAUGCAAGUCGAACGGUAACAGGAAGCAGCUUGCUGCUUCGCUGACGAGUGGCGGACGGGUGAGUAAUGUCUGGGAAGCUGCCUGAUGGAGGGGGAUAACUACUGGAAACGGUAGCUAAUACCGCAUAAUGUCGCAAGACCAAAGAGGGGGACCUUCGGGCCUCUUGCCAUCGGAUGUGCCCAGAUGGGAUUAGCUUGUUGGUGGGGUAACGGCUCACCAAGGCGACGAUCCCUAGCUGGUCUGGGAGGAUGACCAGCCACACUGGAACUGAGACACGGUCCAGACUCCUACGGGAGGCAGCAGUGGGGAAUAUUGCACAAUGGGCGCAAGCCUGAUGCAGCCAUGCCGCGUGUAUGAAGAAGGCCUUCGGGUUGUAAAGUACUUUCAGCGGGGAGGAAGGGAGUAAAGUUAAUACCUUUGCUCAUUGACGUUACCCGCAGAAGAAGCACCGGCUAACUCCGUGCCAGCAGCCGCGGUAAUACGGAGGGUGCAAGCGUUAAUCGGAAUUACUGGGCGUAAAGCGCACGCAGGCGGUUUGUUAAGUCAGAUGUGAAAUCCCCGGGCUCAACCUGGGAACUGCAUCUGAUACUGGCAAGCUUGAGUCUCGUAGAGGGGGGGUAGAAUUCCAGGUGUAGCGGUGAAAUGCGUAGAGAUCUGGAGGAAUACCGGUGGCGAAGGCGGCCCCCUGGACGAAGACUGACGCUCAGGUGCGAAAGCGUGGGGAGCAAACAGGAUUAGAUACCCUGGUAGUCCACGCCGUAAACGAUGUCGACUUGGAGGUUGUGCCCUUGAGGCGUGGCUUCCGGAGCUAACGCGUUAAGUCGACCGCCUGGGGAGUACGGCCGCAAGGUUAAAACUCAAAUGAAUUGACGGGGGCCCGCACAAGCGGUGGAGCAUGUGGUUUAAUUCGAUGCAACGCGAAGAACCUUACCUGGUCUUGACAUCCACGGAAGUUUUCAGAGAUGAGAAUGUGCCUUCGGGAACCGUGAGACAGGUGCUGCAUGGCUGUCGUCAGCUCGUGUUGUGAAAUGUUGGGUUAAGUCCCGCAACGAGCGCAACCCUUAUCCUUUGUUGCCAGCGGUCCGGCCGGGAACUCAAAGGAGACUGCCAGUGAUAAACUGGAGGAAGGUGGGGAUGACGUCAAGUCAUCAUGGCCCUUACGACCAGGGCUACACACGUGCUACAAUGGCGCAUACAAAGAGAAGCGACCUCGCGAGAGCAAGCGGACCUCAUAAAGUGCGUCGUAGUCCGGAUUGGAGUCUGCAACUCGACUCCAUGAAGUCGGAAUCGCUAGUAAUCGUGGAUCAGAAUGCCACGGUGAAUACGUUCCCGGGCCUUGUAG
RNAcentral lists this ribosomal RNA (1400 nucleotides) under uncultured bacterium. RNAcentral's name for it is "bacterial SSU rRNA". It matches the Rfam family "Bacterial small subunit ribosomal RNA". The record is from RNAcentral.